AGAGUUUGAUCAUGGCUCAGGAUUAACGCUAGCGGCAGGCCUAAUACAUGCAAGUCGAGGGGCAGCAGGGUGUAGCAAUACAUCGCUGGCGACCGGCGCACGGGUGCGUAACACGUAUGCAACCUACCUUUAACUGGGGAAUAGCCCUCCGAAAGGAGGAUUAACACCGCAUAACAUCACGAGACGGCAUCGCCUUGUGAUCAAACCUCCGGGGGUUAAAGAUGGGCAUGCGUCCGAUUAGCUAGUUGGCGGGGUAACGGCCCACCAAGGCGACGAUCGGUAGGGGGUCUGAGAGGAUGAUCCCCCACACUGGUACUGAGGCACGGACCAGACUCCUACGGGAGGCAGCAGUAAGGAAUAUUGGACAAUGGUCGCAAGACUGAUCCAGCCAUGCCGCGUGCAGGAUGAACGAUCUAUGAUCUGUAAACUGCUUUUGUUCGGGAAUAAACCCCUUCACGUGUGGAGGGCUGAAUGUACCGAAAGAAUAAGGGUCGGCUAACUUCGUGCCAGCAGCCGCGGUAAGACGAAGGACCCAAGCGUUAUCCGGAUUUAUUGGGUUUAAAGGGUGCGUAGGCGGGUUGUUAAGUCAGUGGUGAAAGCCUAGAGCUUAACUCUAGAAUUGCCAUUGAUACUGACGAUCUUGAGGAUAGUUGAGGUGGGCGGAAUGUAUCAUGUAGCGGUGAAAUGCUUAGAGAUGAUACAGAACACCGAUUGCGAAGGCAGCUCACUAAGCUAUUUCUGACGCUGAGGCACGAAAGCGUGGGGAUCAAACAGGAUUAGAUACCCUGGUAGU
Molecule: ribosomal RNA, 793 nt
Filed under: uncultured bacterium
Lineage: Bacteria
Description: bacterial SSU rRNA
Rfam family: Bacterial small subunit ribosomal RNA
Source: RNAcentral